CCCCUUGACAUGGCAGGAAUCCUGGAGAGAUCUGGGAGUGCUCGAAAGAGAACCUGCACACAGGUGCUGCAUGGCUGUCGUCAGCUCGUGUCGUGAGAUGUUGGGUUAAGUCCCGCAACGAGCGCAACCCUUGUCAUUAGUUGCUACGCAAGAGCACUCUAAUGAGACUGCCGGUGACAAACCGGAGGAAGGUGGGGAUGACGUCAAGUCCUCAUGGCCCUUAUGGGUAGGGCUUCACACGUCAUACAAUGGUACAUACAGAGGGCCGCCAACCCGCGAGGGGGAGCUAAUCCCAGAAAGUGUAUCGUAGUCCGGAUUGUAGUCUGCAACUCGACUACAUGAAGUUGGAAUCGCUAGUAAUCGCGGAUCAGCAUGUCGCGGUGAAUACGUUCCCGGGUCUUGUACACACCGCCCGUCACACCAUGGGAGCGGGUUUACCAGAAGUAGGUAGCUUAACCGUAAGGAGGGCGCUUACCACGGUAGGAUUCGUGACUGGGGUGAAGUCGUAACAAGGUAAGCGUAGAUGA
This 527-nucleotide ribosomal RNA is filed under the name uncultured bacterium. RNAcentral describes it as "bacterial SSU rRNA". It matches the Rfam family "Bacterial small subunit ribosomal RNA", at positions 977 to 1509 of the family's 1533-position model. The record is from RNAcentral.